AUCCCUGAUAAGUGAGAACUCCUGGAAUGGAUUCUCGCUCAAAGGACGUUUAGACCAUGCUUCUAGGCGUCGCCCAAGGAGGGGGCCGCGACCGAUCAGGUUGUUGGUGAGGUAACGGCUCACCAAGCCUUUAACCGGUACGGGCCGUGAGAGCGGAAGCCCGGAGAUGGGCACUGAGACAAGGGCCCAGGCCCUACGGGGCGCAGCAGUCGCGAAAACUCCGCAAUACACGAAAGUGUGACGGGGCCAUCCCGAGUGCCAUCCGCUGAGGAUGGCUUUUCCCCAGUGUAUAAAGCUGGGGGAAUAAGGAGAGGGCAAGCCUGGUGUCAGCCGCCGCGGUAAUACCAGCUCUCCGAGUGGUGGGGAUGUUUAUUGGGCCUAAAGCAUUCGUAGCCUGCUUGGCAAGUCCUCCGUUAAAUCCAACGAUUCAAUCGUUGGGCUGCGGGGGAUACUGUCCAGCUAGGGGGCGGGAGAGGCCGACGGUAUCCCCGGGGUAGGGGUGAAAUCCUAUAAUCCCGGGAGGACCACCAGUGGCGAAGGCUGUCGGCUAGAACGCGCUCGACGGUGAGGGAUGAAAGCUGGGGGAGCGAACCGGAUUAGAUACCCGGGUAGUCCC
This 616-nucleotide ribosomal RNA is filed under the name uncultured archaeon. RNAcentral's name for it is "bacterial SSU rRNA". It matches the Rfam family "Archaeal small subunit ribosomal RNA", at positions 149 to 748 of the family's 1478-position model. The record is from RNAcentral.